GAUUUACUGAAGCAUUUUAUUGUUUAGCUAGCUAGCUACCAACAACAUUUACAAAUAGCUCUACUUCCCAGACCUAACUUUUAUGGCAUAAUGCUGGAUCAUUAUUUUUGACAAACUUGGAGUCACAGGUGAAUAAAGGGACUGUUACAGGGCCACUAUGAGCCAAGCUGGGGAGAGACCAACCCUCCCAGUGGAGGAGGUGAGGAGGAGACUACUCCCUAUCAGCCCUGGCUCCUGAUGCUGCCCUACAGGAGGAGAGCUGGCCCUGGGCCACACUCACGUCUCUGCAGCCAGCCUUCCAGUGCUUAGACCAGCUGUUCUCUACUGGGAAGAUCAGCGGGACCAAAGCAGCAAGCUCAAAGCCAGUUUCAGCCUGCUCCAUGACACCUUGAAA
Salvelinus sp. IW2-2015 is the source of this 394-nucleotide non-coding RNA. The record is from RefSeq and is a predicted model, not a curated record. NCBI's taxonomy places the organism in Eukaryota, Metazoa, Chordata, Actinopteri, Salmoniformes, Salmonidae.